GACGAACGCUGGCGGCGUGCUUAACACAUGCAAGUCGAACGGAAAGGCCCUGCUUUUGGGGGGUGCUCGAGUGGCGAACGGGUGAGUAACACGUGAGUAACCUGCCCUUGACUUUGGGAUACCUUCAGGAAACUGGGGCUAAUACCGGAUAGGAGCUCCUGCUGCAUGGUGGGGGUUGGAAAGUUUCGGCGGUUGGGGAUGGACUCGCGGCUUAUCAGCUUGGUGGUGGGGUAGUGGCUUACCAAGGCUUUGACGGGUAGCCCGCCUGAGAGGGUGAGCGGCAACAUUGGGACUGUGAUACGGCCCAGACUCCUACGGGAGGCAGUAGUGGGGAAUAUUGCACAAUGGGCGGACGCCUGAUGCAGCACCGCCGCGUGCGGGAUGACGGCCUUCGGGUUGUAACCCGCUUUCGCCUGUGACGAAGCGUGAGUGACGGUAAUGGGUAAAGAAGCACCGGCUAACUACGUG
RNAcentral lists this ribosomal RNA (468 nucleotides) under uncultured bacterium. RNAcentral's name for it is "partial 16S ribosomal RNA". It matches the Rfam family "Bacterial small subunit ribosomal RNA", at positions 28 to 507 of the family's 1533-position model. The record is from RNAcentral.